RNAcentral lists this ribosomal RNA (485 nucleotides) under uncultured bacterium. RNAcentral describes it as "bacterial SSU rRNA". It matches the Rfam family "Bacterial small subunit ribosomal RNA", at positions 28 to 507 of the family's 1533-position model. The record is from RNAcentral.
GAUGAACGCUAGCGGCAGGCCUAACACAUGCAAGUCAGGGGUAACAGGGAGAAGCUUGCUUUUCCGCUGACGACCGGCGCACGGGUGCGUAACGCGUAUACAAUCUGCCUUAUACUGGGGUAUAGCCUUUAGAAAUGAAGAUUAAUCCCCCAUAGUCUCUUAGAGUGGCAUCAUUUUAGGAGUAAAGGUUACGGUAUAAGAUGAGUAUGCGUUCUAUUAGUUUGUUGGUGAGGUAACGGCUCACCAAGGCUACGAUAGAUAGGGGCCCUGAGAGGGGGAUCCCCCACACUGGUACUGAGACACGGACCAGACUCCUACGGGAGGCAGCAGUGAGGAAUAUUGGACAAUGGAGGCAACUCUGAUCCAGCCAUGCCGCGUGCAGGAAGACUGCCCUAUGGGUUGUAAACUGCUUUUAUAUAGGAAGAAACCUACUUACGUGUAAGUAGCUGACGGUACUAUAAGAAUAAGGAUCGGCUAACUCCGUG